CCUUCAAUAGCUCAGUUGGUAGAGCGGAGGACUGUAGAUCCUUAGGUCGCUGGUUCAAAUCCGGCUCGAAGGA
Molecule: transfer RNA, 73 nt
Filed under: Albula goreensis
Lineage: Eukaryota; Metazoa; Chordata; Actinopteri; Albuliformes; Albulidae
Description: tRNA-Tyr
Rfam family: tRNA
About the family: Transfer RNA (tRNA) molecules are approximately 80 nucleotides in length. Their secondary structure includes four short double-helical elements and three loops (D, anti-codon, and T loops).
Source: RNAcentral